RNAcentral lists this transfer RNA (79 nucleotides) under Morchella angusticeps. RNAcentral describes it as "tRNA-Asp". It matches the Rfam family "tRNA". Rfam says of the family: Transfer RNA (tRNA) molecules are approximately 80 nucleotides in length. Their secondary structure includes four short double-helical elements and three loops (D, anti-codon, and T loops). Further hydrogen bonds mediate the characteristic L-shaped molecular structure. tRNAs have two regions of fundamental functional importance: the anti-codon, which is responsible for specific mRNA codon recognition, and the 3' end, to which the tRNAs corresponding amino acid is attached (by aminoacyl-tRNA synthetases). tRNAs cope with the degeneracy of the genetic code in two manners: having more than one tRNA (with a specific anti-codon) for a particular amino acid; and 'wobble' base-pairing, i.e. permitting non-standard base-pairing at the 3rd anti-codon position. Lineage: Eukaryota; Fungi; Ascomycota; Pezizomycetes; Pezizales; Morchellaceae. RNAcentral also lists the same sequence under 13 other names. The record is from RNAcentral.
UCUUUGGUAGUAUAGUGGUUAGUAUACUCGCUUGUCAACCAACUCGCGAGUGACCGGGGUUCAAUUCCCCGCCAGAGAG